CCUACGGGUGGCAGCAGUGGGGAAUAUUGGACAAUGGGGGCAACCCUGAUCCAGCCAUGCCGCGUGUGUGAAGAAGGCCCUCGGGUUGUAAAGCACUUUCAGUGAGGAAGAACGCCUGGUGGUUAAUACCCAUCAGGAAAGACAUCACUCACAGAAGAAGCACCGGCUAACUCCGUGCCAGCAGCCGCGGUAAUACGGAGGGUGCGAGCGUUAAUCGGAAUUACUGGGCGUAAAGCGCGCGUAGGUGGCUUGAUAAGCCGGUUGUGAAAGCCCCGGGCUCAACCUGGGAACGGCAUCCGGAACUGUCAAGCUGGAGGGCAGGAGAGGAAGGUAGAAUUCCCGGUGUAGCGGUGAAAUGCGUAGAGAUCGGGAGGAAUACCAGUGGCGAAGGCGGCCUUCUGGACUGACACUGACACUGAGGUGCGAAAGCGUGGGUAGCAAACAGGAUUAGAUACCCCGGUAGUC
RNAcentral lists this ribosomal RNA (465 nucleotides) under Vreelandella stevensii. RNAcentral describes it as "partial 16S ribosomal RNA". It matches the Rfam family "Bacterial small subunit ribosomal RNA", at positions 338 to 795 of the family's 1533-position model. The record is from RNAcentral. Lineage: Bacteria; Pseudomonadati; Pseudomonadota; Gammaproteobacteria; Oceanospirillales; Halomonadaceae.